UUUUGGACAAUGGGCGAAAGCCUGAUCCAGCCAUGCCGCGUGAGUGAAGAAGGCCUUCGGGUUGUAAAGCUCUUUCGCAAGGAAAGAAAACUUACAUAUUAAUACUAUGUGAGGAUGACGGUACCUUGAUAAGAAGCACCGGCUAACUACGUGCCAGCAGCCGCGGUAAUACGUAGGGUGCAAGCGUUAAUCGGAAUUACUGGGCGUAAAGCGAGCGCAGGCGGUUUUGUAAGUCAGAUGUGAAAGCCCCGGGCUCAACCUGGGAACUGCGUUUAAACUACAAGGCUAGAGAUGGAGAGGGAGGAGAUUCCACGUGAGCAGUAAAUGCGAGAAUGUGAGAAUCCAAUGGCGAGGAGCCUCCUGCCAAUCUGCGUAUCUAAAUAG
RNAcentral lists this ribosomal RNA (384 nucleotides) under uncultured bacterium. RNAcentral describes it as "bacterial SSU rRNA". It matches the Rfam family "Bacterial small subunit ribosomal RNA", at positions 362 to 759 of the family's 1533-position model. The record is from RNAcentral.